CAAGUCGAACGCAGUAGCAAUACCGAGUGGCAGACGGGUGAGUAACAUGUGGGAAUCUGCCUUGUGGUUCAGGACAACAUUGGGAAACCGAUGCUAAUACUGGAUAAGCCCUUACGGGGAAAGUUUUAAUGCCAUAAGAUGAGCCCGCAUUUGAUUAGUUAGUUGGUGAGGUAAUGGCUCACCAAGACAAUGAUCAAUAGCUGAUCUGAGAGGAUGAUCAGCCACACUGGGACUGAGACACGGCCCAGACUCCUACGGGAGGCAGCAGUGGGGAAUCUUGCACAAUGGAGGAAACUCUGAUGCAGCGAUGCCGCGUGAGUGAAGAAGGCCUUUGGGUUGUAAAGCUCUUUUGUAGGGGAAGAUAAUGACUGUACCCUAAGAAUAAGGUCCGGCUAACUUCGUGCCAGCAGCCGCGGUAAUACGAAGGGACCUAGCGUAGUUCGGAAUUACUGGGCGUAAAGCGCGUGUAGGCCGUUGAGUUAGUUAAUUGUGAAAUCCCAAAGCUUAACUUUGGAACUGCAAUUAAAACUGCUCGACUAGAGUUUGACAGAGGAAAGCGGAAUACAUAGUGUAGAGGUGAAAUUCGUAGAUAUUAUGUAGAACACCAGUUGCGAAGGCGGCUUUCUGGAUCAACACUGACGCUGAGGCGCGAAAGUAUGGGUAGCAAAGAGGAUUAGAUACCCUCGUAGUCCAUACCAUAAACGAUGAUUGCUAGAUGUUGGAAAUUUAUUUUCAGUAUCGCAGCUAACGCAUUAAGCAAUCCGCCUGGGGAGUACGACCGCAAGGUUAAAACUCAAAUGAAUUGACGG
Molecule: ribosomal RNA, 809 nt
Filed under: uncultured bacterium
Lineage: Bacteria
Description: bacterial SSU rRNA
Rfam family: Bacterial small subunit ribosomal RNA
Source: RNAcentral